This 2211-nucleotide long non-coding RNA is filed under the name Citrus x clementina. RNAcentral's name for it is "Citrus clementina (C. clementina) long non-coding RNA (CCLE_LNC005743)". Lineage: Eukaryota; Viridiplantae; Streptophyta; Magnoliopsida; Sapindales; Rutaceae. The record is from RNAcentral.
CAGGGGGAUUUGUACCUAUUUUAAAACAUGAGAAGAGGUUUCUCUCUUAGUUUCUCCAAACAAAAGGGGGUAAUCCUCAUUUUCUAGGGAUUUUAUUAAUGAAAAAUAGAAGCCAAAACACUAAGUUAGGGAACAUAAUGAGUCUUACCCCUAAGUAAAAAAAUAAUAAUAACAAUAUUUGGGAUAAAAAGAUAAACAAAACAAGAAUAAAUUAAAAGAAAUGAUAUUUUGGAAAGUCAUUGGCGUCUUGAGAUAAGAAUUAUUGAAUAUUUAUAGGGGAACAUUCCACAAAAAAAUGCUCUUCAUGAUCAAGACCCAAAUUUACAAUGUUGUUCUUCAUAAAAGUAUGAGAGCAAUGGAAAAAUGGCAAAUAGUUUCAUCUUCCAAUUCUCAACUAAUAUAAUUCCCAUCGAAAAGGGUUUAGUUUAGACUAGAUAAAGAACAAUUAUCAGCUCAUAUCGGAGAAAAACUUCUGGAUACACAAAAGUACAGUUAAUGAUAAUAAGAGAAACAUAACUUCAUUUAAUGUACUUAAUUAGAUUCUUAUUAUUUUUAAAAAAUAUGGAGUGGGAAAAACCUAAAUCUUAUUUGUAGUAUCUUACAUUACAUCCCUAGGAUUUGAAUUCGAAUGGCCAAUUUAAUAGAGCUACGUCAAGACCACUUGAUCGAGCUUUUGGGGCCAAUAUAAUUACCAACGUGUCUAAUAGUUUUUUUUUUUAAUGAAAUAUACACACGACAAUAGACUGCCAGAAUGUUGUUCAAUCAAUGACACGGUAUCUUUGAUAUAUAGAAGAUUUUUCCUUAUACUACCGAUGGAUCUGGUCAGCGUCCAUUAGAACUACAAUUUUCUGGGCACAAUAUUUACUAAAGUACAAGAUGGGACUUAUCAUGGUGAUGCUGAAGAAUUGAAAAUGCUGAGCAUUAUUAAACAGAUAUGUGCAAGAACAAGGAGGACAAAAUAUAUGAACAGGAAAUGGAUGUAAUGAAACCAAUGCAUCCUUUGUUUAUCAUUUGCUUAGAAUCCAAAAGGUUUCGUUUCCAAGGUUCAUUAGAGAGAAUGAAUUCGGAUUGUUUUGUCUCUACAAGACAACGAGGGUCUCUUCUCUUCUCUUCAUAGUCUUUGGGAAAGAAGAGGAAUCACUUCAAGGGGUUUAGGUUUUAGCAUCAAGACACCCAAAACUGGCUCGUUAUGUGUGACAGGUGCAUACUUUUUUGUUGCUAGAGAGAAAAGACAGAUGUUCCAAGUAUUAAAAUAAGAUGUUUUAGCAGAAAACACUAGUAUUAUAAUAUAUUUGCUAAAGAAAAUGAGACACUCCUAACCCUACGUACAUAUAAAACACUUCAUGCUUUGUCUUGUUCGUGCAUGGGGAGUUGACAUCCAUUUUAUUUGUUUAUAGCGUAAGAAUCUUUCCAAGAAUUGCUUCUUUUUUUUGUAUGAAUUCAUAGAUCAAGACAUCCAACCAAGCAUUAGUAUAUGAUGUACAUUUUAUAUGUUAAUCGAAAAAAUGACUUAAGGAUAAUAUUAUAAAUAGCUUAAGAGACCUAAAGUAGAAUCAUGUCUGUCUCUGAUAAUUAACUCUAUUAAUUGUCAAAUCAUUUCUAGGUAUAAUUCCUUUUAUUCUUAUAUAUGAAUUUUAGUUGUUUGGACCCUAAUAUUUCUCUCAAUUUGGAGCUCUUGCGAAUACUGAUUCGAUUGGUGCAAUUAAUGAAGUGAACCGGCUGGCCAAAUGUUUCCUGUGUCCCUAUGUUAAUUAUAUAUAUAUAUGGGUUGAUGGUCUAAAUUUGGCAGACAUAUCAUAAGCAUAAUUUCAUAAGAUUUAGAUUGUAAAAUAAGAGAGAUGAUCAGCUAACUUAUAAAUGGCCGGUCACCAAUAUAGUGCUAUGCAAACUGAGUUAUAUGUUGACUUAAUAUUACCAAUCUGGGGCUUGCUUCCAGAGUAAUAUUGCCUUUUUGACAGUUUUUCAGUUAGUCAACAACAACAUGUAAUGGAAAAAUAAAAAUAAAUUUAUCCCAUAUGCCACUUCUUAACAAUUACGUGCGUACUUCAACCUAGGGAUGACAAAAUCCUUCACGGGUUUGGGGAUCCAUGGAGCCCCACUCUAAAUGGAAAAAAAUUUAAAUAAUUUUUGGGGAAUGGGGUGGGAGUGGGGGGAAAAUAAUCCCUAAAUUCUUAAUGGGGUGGGGUUUGGUUUUGUACUCCUCACCCCACC